Molecule: Y RNA, 106 nt
Filed under: Carlito syrichta (Philippine tarsier)
Lineage: Eukaryota; Metazoa; Chordata; Mammalia; Primates; Tarsiidae
Description: Y RNA (ENSTSYG00000020947.2)
Rfam family: Y RNA
About the family: Y RNAs are components of the Ro ribonucleoprotein particle (Ro RNP), in association with Ro60 and La proteins. The Y RNAs and Ro60 and La proteins are well conserved, but the function of the Ro RNP is not known.
Source: Rfam by way of RNAcentral
GGUUUGUCCAAGUGCAAUGGUGUUUACAACUAACUGAUCACUACUGAUUACAAAUUUCUUUGUUUCUUCUCCCACUACUCCCACUACUUCACUUGACUAGCCUUUA